Molecule: microRNA precursor, 186 nt
Filed under: Oryza meridionalis
Lineage: Eukaryota; Viridiplantae; Streptophyta; Magnoliopsida; Poales; Poaceae
Description: MIR812 microRNA precursor family
Rfam family: MIR812 microRNA precursor family
Source: Rfam by way of RNAcentral
UUUAAGUGUAUGUUUUUCUAUUCAACGUUUGAUCAUCCAUUUUGUUUGAAAAUUUUUUGUGAUUAGCAUUUUUAUUAUUGCUAGACGAUAAAACAUUAAUAGUAUUUUAUGCAUGAUUUAUUUUUAUAUUUUUUAAAUAAACAGACGAUUAAACAUUAGACACAGAAAUUUAUAACUGCGCUUAAA